CAGUCGCCACGGUAAUACGUAGGGUGCAAGCGUUAUCCGGAAUUAUUGGGCGUAAAGCGCGCGUAGGUGGUUUGUUAAGUUGGAUGUGAAAUCCCCGGGCUCAACCUGGGAACUGCAUUCAAAACUGACUGACUAGAGUAUGAUAGAGGGUGGUGGAAUUUCCUGUGUAGCGGUGAAAUGCGUAGAUAUAGGAAGGAACACCAGUGGCGAAGGCGACCACCUGGACUAAUACUGACACUGAGGUGCGAAAGCGUGGGGAGCAAACAGGAUUAGAUACCCGUGUAGUCCCUGUCUCUUAUAC
This 301-nucleotide ribosomal RNA is filed under the name uncultured bacterium. RNAcentral's name for it is "partial 16S ribosomal RNA". It matches the Rfam family "Bacterial small subunit ribosomal RNA", at positions 509 to 807 of the family's 1533-position model. The record is from RNAcentral.